GACUGAGACACUGCCCAGACUCCUACGGGAGGCUGCAGUAACGAAUAUUCCACAAUGGGCGAAAGCCUGAUGGAGCAAUGCCGCGUGCGGGACGAAGCACUUCGGUGUGUAAACCGCUGUCAGGGAUCACCAAGCAACGGAGGUUAACAGCCUCCCGCGUUGAGGCGUCCCAGAGGAAGCCACGGCUAACUUCGUGCCAGCAGCCGCGGUAAUACGAAGGUGGCGAGCGUUGUUCGGAAUCACUGGGCUUAAAGCGCAUGUAAUGCGGCCGUGCAAGCGUCUUGUGAAAUCCCCCGGCUCAACCGGGGAAUGGCUGGGCGAACUGCACGGCUUGAGGCAGGGAGGGGUGCGUGGAACUCUUGGUGGAGCGGUGAUAUGCGUAGAUAUCAAGAGGAACGCCGGAGGCGAAAGCGACGCACUGGACCUGUCCUGACGCUGAGAUGCGAAGGCCAGGGGAGCGAACGGGAUUAGAUACCCCGGUAGUCCUGGCAGUAAACGAUGCCUACUAGGUCGGAGGUCUUCUGACAGGGUUCCGGCCGGAACUAAAGCGUUAAGUAGGCCGCCUGGGGAGUAUGGUCGCAAGGCUAAAACUCAAAGGAAUUGACGGGGGCUCACACAAGCGGUGGAGCAUGUUGCUUAAUUCGAUGCAACGCGAAGAACCUUAUCCUGGGCUUGACAUGAUCGGAUGCCCGCCUGGAAACAGGUUGGGUUGCCCUUCGGGGUGGAACGAUCACAGGUGCUGCAUGGCUGUCGUCAGCUCGUGUCGUGAGAUGUUGGGUUAAGUCCCGUAACGAGCGAAACCCUUGUCGCUAGUUGCCAGCGCGUCAUGGCGGGGACUCUAGCGAGACUGCCGGUGUGAAACCGGAGGAAGGUGGGGAUGACGUCAAGUCCUCAUGGCCUUUAUGCCCAGGGCUGCAAACGUGCUACAAUGGCCGGUACAAACCGACGCGAGACCGCGAGGUGGAGCAAAUCGGAAAAAGCCGGCCCCAGUUCGGAUUGGAGUCUGCAACUCGACUCCAUGAAGUUGGAAUCGCUAGUAAUCGCAGAUCAGCCACGCUGCGGUGAAUGUGUUCCUGAGCCUUGUACACACCGCCCGUCAAGUCAUGGAAGCCGGGAGCACCCGAAGUCGGCUCGAUU
Molecule: ribosomal RNA, 1137 nt
Filed under: uncultured organism
Description: bacterial SSU rRNA
Rfam family: Bacterial small subunit ribosomal RNA
Source: RNAcentral